Manis pentadactyla (Chinese pangolin) is the source of this 7019-nucleotide long non-coding RNA. RefSeq lists it as uncharacterized. The transcript is spliced from 3 exons. The record is from RefSeq and is a predicted model, not a curated record. NCBI's taxonomy places the organism in Eukaryota, Metazoa, Chordata, Mammalia, Pholidota, Manidae.
AGGAAAACACAUGAAGAAAUUAAGUAAUUGUUUAACAGUAUAUUAUGAUUUUUAAAAAUAAGGUUGCGAGCAUAAUGGCAUCUCAUUUGUUUCAAGUCAAUGUCUAUGUAACAUGUACCUCCAGCAAAGACCCCCCCACAGAUGGGCAGUGUGCUCUCUGGAGGAGGACUUAAAAUAACGAUUCACACUCCAAGAUGUGAAUCGUUAUGGCCAGUGUCCUUCAUAGUGCACCAUCAUUUGUGAGUGAAUUCAAAGAAUUCAUAUAUCUACAGAAAGUGAGUGAUUAAUAGCCUUUACACAGGGCAGUGAAGGAUUUUGUCCAAAGUCAAACCUAUAAAAUGUAAUACCAGAAAAGUAAUCAUUCAUUCUGAUGUUUUCCCACCUUCCUUCAACAGGAGCCCUGAAAAUUGAGCUGCUGUAUAUUGAAGUUAACUUCAUUGUAAUUUUAUUCAAAUAUGAAACACCUAUAUGUGCUUUUGUUCCUUGCUAUAGAAACACAGUUCUGUAAGUGAAGUUUAAUUCUCAGGUGCAGUUGAAAAAUUAUAAGAAUGUAGUGGUAAAAUGUUUCCUUCCCUAUGGUUUCUGAUGGCAAGGCUGGAAAUUGAAUGGCUAGUUCACUGAGAGAUCCUGGGACAUCUGACAAAAAGCCAUCAGAAGAGAGAAAAAAGAUAUUUGGAUCUGUUAGUAAUCAUAUCCUUUGACAAAUUAAAAAUAAUUGUGCUAUAAAAAGGCAUAUAUAUCUAAAAAUUAUAUAUUUGUAUAAUUAUAUAUUCAUAAAUUUACUAAUUUAAUACAGGAUGCUAAUAUAUGACAGUUUACAAUUGCUUCCUAAUUUUCACUGGAAAAUAAAGUUACUAAUGGUUAAAAUUUAUAAUCUGUAUAUAAAAAUACAACUACUAAAAAUGAUAACAGAAAAGGAAAAUAACUUGGUAUACAAACUAUGGGAGGAGAAUGGGAUGUGUUUUAUAUGAAGAAUAUAUAAGGAAUAUAGAGGAUAAUGUUUGGUAAGGAAAAAAGAGUAAUUUUGUCCUAAAGAAAAAUGACUAAAUGUUCCAGAAUGAGAAAAAGAAUAGGAAUGAGACAAAAUCUAACUGGAUAAAGAAAAUUGCAGAAUAUUUGUAGAAAAUAAAUUUUAUGUUGCAAGGUCAAAGCUGGCUAAAUGAGCUCAAUAAUGUACUGACAUAAAACUAGAGUUUAAUUUUCUAUUAAAAUGACAGUUUCUUAGAUUAUUGGUCUACUCUCAAUAAGAGAUUAUAAAAGUUUUCUGUUACCUUUUGUGUGAUCUACCAGGGAAACAAAGAUUCUGUCUUAUCAAAAUAAUUUCCUGUGCUUCAUAUUGUCUUUAACAGGUUUUUAAUAACUGAGGAAAACGGAGUCUUUGAUAUUAAUGAAGCUGAGGGUUUUUUAAAUAACUAUAUAACUCUCUGUAUUUGCCUUUAAAAUCUUUUGUCACUUUGAUUAAUUAGAUGGAUAACUAAGUAUUGUUUCACAGUGACCUAUAUGAUACUGCUUGUUUCACAGUGACCUUAAAUUGAUUUAAGUUAUUACUUAAUCAAGUGUUUUAACCUUUUGACAUUUUUGACAAAGUUCCCAAAAUCAAAUUCAAAAUGAAGUCUUUUGACUUUGAACUAACUUUGGCAUUUUCCAGAGGGUUCCUGAAAAUCUCAAAAGAUUUGUUCUCUUUCCUUAUAAAAUGAGAGAUGUUAAAUUUAUUAGCUUAUUUGAUUUGUUAAAUUACAUGGGAAACAUUGUCAAAUGAAAGUCAUGAUUAACUUUCUUUAGGCUAUAUUUGUAUGUGUAUAUGUUAUCAACAUUUUAAAUAUUGUACAAAAUUCCUAGAAAUUGUCAAUGCCCAAUUGUCCAUAUAAUCUGUCAUAAUUCCAAUUGUUAUUUGAAAGCAUUGUAUGUCACAGAAAUAAUCAAAUAUCCUUAUGAAUUAUAUUGUAUUUUACACUUAAUUUCCCCAGAUCUUUAACCUUGGCUAUUUUUAAGUUUUUUGUCAUUCAUGAGCAAUUACUGUUUUACUCUUGGUUCUUCUCUGGAAACUUUUACAACCAACUAUAGGCAAAAAUGCUUCAUCUUCAAGGAUCCAUGGAAAAGAACAUGACAAGUACUCUAUAAUAUAGGUUUCUGAUCAUUCUAAGAUCACAUCACUAAACUGGAGAAGAAUUUCUAGAAUUCUAAUAAAGAAACUGAUUGAUUCAUAAAACUGGUAACCUGAGAUCAAGCAAACAAAAAGUAGUUAGGUGGGACUGAAUGAACUGAUAAGGAGGAUGAUUAUAAUUUUAUGGCUUUUUGUUUAAAGCACUACUGGUCCUUUAAAGUUUUGUUUUGCAGAUUUAAGAAAACUCUUUUUCUCCUUCUCUUAAGCUAUGUGUAACUUACAACAAGUUGAUAGAUUAUACUUUGGUAAAUAAAAAUUAAAACAUCUUUUUCUCUCUUCCUGAUCCCUCCAGAAUUUGGAAACUAUUAAUAUUCUCUUUCAGGGCGGUACAGUUGUUUGCAUAAGUACAGGAAGAAUCUGUUCUCUUUAGAACAAAACUGGAAACAUUGGUUAUAUUAUCAAGACUUUGACUGUAAUGUCAUAUUUGGCAAUGAUGUACAUAGACUCAAAUGUGACUGGACAGAUUUAAGUAACUAAAGUUGAAUUUAUGGAGCCAGUUAUAAAACCCCUUGAAAUACCAGUAUGAUACCUUGCUUACAAGGUUCCCAGCCCUACAAAUGAGUAAGGCAUGAUACUUCCUGGAAAGCCCAAGAAACUUAAGAUAUAUUGAGUACCUCCAGAAAAGAGGGGCUCACCCAAAUCUAUGGGUGUGACAGGCUAAGUCUGAUGAUAAAUAUUUGACUUGGCUUCUUAGCCUUGAAAGAGUUUUAAAGGCUCUAUCUAUGAUUCCUUGUUUGAAGUUCUAACAAUGCGAUUUUAAAAGCACCUUAUGAUCUAUCACUAGUCUUACAAAAUAACAUAUAAAUAAUCAGGCCAAGUUUAAUGAGACUAAACUUCUUUUACAAACAAAAUAGUCUUACUGUAAUUAUAUUUAAUAAAAAUGGAUUUGAUCCUAGACAGAAAAAUAUAUUUCAAUGAAAAACUAUAACCCACUCUUCUGAUUAUUAGAUUCUAGCUGUUGUUCAUUGUCUUUGGGGUUUUGCUACCUGUAAAUCGGUCCAGAUACUGAAUUCUUCUGGUGUCCCCCAGUAUAUGGCUGUAACUCUCCUAACUAACAUUUCCAAUUCUUCUCCCACCCUUCUCACUUGAAAUCACUAAGGACUAAAACUAUCCUUUUGCCCAAGUCCUACAAACUAAAGCUAGGUGACUUAAUAUAAAUAUCAGAAAAAUCACUACAACAGAUUAUAUGUAAACAGCCUUCAUGGCUACUGCUGUGUGGGCCACUCAGAAAUUUCACAACACCCAAUGCCAUAACCGAGACAUUCAAGCUACAAACCAGGGAAUUCAUCAGAUUAUAGCUGCCAUCAUUCUACCACCUAAAGAAGCUCCUAGAAGUCUCCUCAACUGGCUGUCCUCUGGACUCAGAAAUGAAGUUUCCAAUGACCACUCCCAUCACACAGAGACCUAACUUAGCUGAAAAGCUACUCCCACCUAUGCCAGUGCCACCUGAACUAACACACAACUGUGUAAAUGAAUUGAUUAAUACUCAAGCCUAAGAGACUAAGAGAAAUAGAAUAAUCUGCCAACUCAGAUUAUAGACUGCAGGUCUUUUGAGAAUCAUAUAAGGUGGUAGAUCAUAUAAGGCAGAUCAUAUAAGGUGGUAGAAUAUGCCACUUGGCACAAGGAUUACUUUGAGCUAAAGGUACUUAAAAAACAGCAGAUGAAAGAAGAGUAUUCUAAUCGCCCCUGUUUUUCCUGAAAACAGGAGAUAAAAACUCCCAUAUGAGAGAUGCUCUCUCUAUGCCAUAAGAAGGGAAAUUUGUCAAUGGGGAAUCAAAGCCAAGAGAAUCCUAUAUAAAUAGACCUUGUUAAAACAAUUCUGGUAUUCCUUUAGCUUCUGCAUCUAGCUUAGUUACGUUUCCACAAUUGUCCUUCUUUGUUCAACCUAAUAUGAAAUAUAUAAAAGUUUAGCCAUUUCUUUAGGUAUUCAUUUUCUUAGGAGCACUCCUGUGUCAUUUAAAACAUUUAAAUGUGUACACUUUUCUCCUAUUGUUUUAUGUCAGUUUAAUUUUCAGAUGCAGCUGAAAAGCCCUAAGAAGGUAGAGGUAAAAUUUUGCCUCCCCUACAUUCUCAACUAUCUCCUCUAGACCCUGUUUAUUGAUAAAAGUGUCCUGAUGUUACCUAGCUCCCAGGUGUUGGGAAGAAGAGGAACGUAUUUGUAACAUUCUUUAAAUACAAUCUGUUCUAUUUUCCAAGCGUCAUUGUGUAAAGAAGAAACCACCUUACUGGCGAAUAUCUGUCCACAUCUGAUUAGACGGUCAUUUGGGCUUUCAUUUGUGGGUGGCUUUGUCAUUGCUUGGACCUCAUUUUUGGGCAGCAGUAACUCAAUAGAACCCUGAGACAUGGAGAUUAUUCUUUUCUCUGUCUCAUUUUUUUUCUUUUUCUUUCUUUUUUAGGGGAUUUACUCCGUUUGUAUACAUAAGUCAGAACAGAGCUGAUGUGCAUGCCCAGAAAGAAUCGCUAGUUAAUCUAGGUGUUAGAUGAUAUUCUACCAUCAUAGCAUGUCCAAGGGGUAAGCCACAGAUUCUCAUUUGCCUAUUUCUUUCAAUGUGGGUGGUGUGUUUUGAGAACUGUGCCUAAAGUCUCUAAGAUCAGUACCAGCACAAUCUAGAGUGUUUAGGGAAAGGCCUCUUUGCAGAAAUACUUCCAAAUAAAGGCCCUAAACUGGCAGUACUUCAGGCAGCAGACCACACCUGUGUGUGAAAGAAUUGCCAGUAUAUACAAACUAUGACUCUUUAAGGAAAUAAAACUUGUAUCUGACUCAGUCCCUAAUCUCAUAUUCUUCAGAACGGAGAACAGUGCACAGAUUACAGUUUCUAAAUAAACAAAGCCAUUAUUCUGUUAUGAUACAUACUAGAAGAUAUUUUUUUACAAAAAAAUUCUACAGGUUAUUCUUUUAGAUGUCAGUUUUUUCUAGUGAAUUAGGCAAUGAUUGGCUUGUUAGGGACCAAGAACAGGCCACCCCAAAAUGUGCCAUUUUCAUAUAUUGAUUAUUUUGAAUUAAAAGUUACUUAAGAAACAGCCAAUGCAAAAAGAACACUUAAACCCCUUUGUCUCCAGAAAGAAGGAAAUAAAUCUCCCAGGUGAAAGGGGCCCUCCCUGCACCAGGAAGUGAGAAGACCUCCUUACAGUUAGAGAAAGAAUUCAGAUCAGAGUAGGCUAUAUAAACAAACUUCGUUACUUUUCACUGUCUACAAAAAGAUGACUAAAGUCAUCUUGAAAUAAACAGUUUUAUUUGAUCUAAAACAGAGGACUUAAGUCCAGCAGACAUGACUUCUAUAGAUAGGAGUGUUCCUGGGGGCUACAGUCAUAUGAAGGUUUUAUAUCCCCGAGGAAGUGGGCAAGAAAGAUGUAACUUCAAAGGGGUACAUUUCAUUUAUGUAACGAUAUGCAAAGCCAAAAAUAGGGUUGGGGUCAAAUAUAUCCUGGCAACAAAGGGAAUUAGGGGAAGGGCAAAUAUUCUUGCUUAUCUUAUUGAGGCUGAGCAGCCAAUUCCUGACUGACUGCAUUUCUGGGUGAAGUGAAACACAGUUAGGUAAGGUAUUAAGCCCUAAUUUGAUGUCUUGGCCUAGCAGAAGUGACCCUACGUUGGGCUUAUGGCUUUUUUUUUUUUUAACAAUUCCCACCUCAGGCUAACUGAGAGAUGUGAUCAAAAUGUAAGGCAGUAAGUAGUGCCACUCAGCUACUGGUCUUUAGGUCCCCCAGCUUUUGUUGAUCUUUUGUGUGGUAUUUACAGGUUAUGACUUUUUUUUUAAGGUAUCAUUGAUACAAAUCUUAUGCUCAGUUUCACAUGAGCAACACUGUGGUUACUACAUUCCCCCUAUUACCAAGUCCCCACCACAUACUCCACUACAGUCACUGUCCAUUAACACAGUAAGAUGCUAUGGAGUCACUACUUGUAGGUCAUGACUGUUUUUAAAAUCUCUGAGCUACUCUCAGCAUGACUCCAGGCUCACAGUCAUUCAUUCUCUUCACUUCUUUUUCUACUUCACUUCUGUUCCAACUUCACUUCUCUUCCUAUGCUCCAGUCUCAGGGAGAUCAUCUACUUGGUAGUUAGCAGCAGCUUAAUGCAAUUAAGGCUUUUGAGAGGAUAUAACAUGCCAGGGAAAUUAUUUUGAUAACUGUAAGCAGGAUAAUUCCUAGUGUUUGGAGUGCACUAUGGAGCCAAGUGGUCAUCUCUUGAAGCCAAAUGGCUGGCUCAGUGAUCUUAUGUUUCAGUCUCAGACUUGAGUUUCAGUCUCCCCAGAAGUGUUGAUUCAGGUACAUCAGGUGGCAUUGGCCAUGGUACAGACAAUGUCCUUGCUCAGCUAAAAGAUAAUCAAGGACCUUUCUGUUACCAAGGACAACUUUGAUGAGAGCGUCUAAGUAUCUCUGUUGAGGAGUUAGUGCUUCAGCAGCAGAUUCUAUAAAAAUCAGGAAUUGAGAAGUUCUUGAUAGCCUGAUCUACAUUUAUCCCUAACUUGGGUAGUAGGGACCUGCCAAAAAGGAACCAUGAAAGCCUGGUAGGUCCUUUCUAACUUGAUGAUGUAAAUUAAGGGGCACAGUUAGCUUUUUCUCAUAGUCUGAAAUAAAAGGUUGUUGUAAAUUUCAGAGAACAACCCCCUUAGCAAUGGCCUAGGAGAGACAGAUGAGGGCAUUAUCCUUUUAGGCCAAUGUCACAGUAAAGGAAAAGGCGAAAGUAUGAAGUCUUUAUGUGUUGCCUUGGGUUGAAGCAGUCUGUCUUGGUGUCAGCUACUUCUCUUCCUCAUUAGUUUGAUUUGGAAGUCUCCAGCCUCUACAUAGGACCAAGUCUCAGGUGGAGCCUUCUUUAGCUGUGAGGUGUGUAUCCUAGGCAUAAGUCCGGGGAGGGGAAAU